AGCCCUGUGGUGCAGUUGGUGAACACGUCGGCCUGUCACGCCGAAGAUCGCGGGUUCAAGUCCCGUCAGGGUUGCCA
This 77-nucleotide transfer RNA is filed under the name Clostridium sp. Its description in RNAcentral is "tRNA-Asp". It matches the Rfam family "tRNA". From Rfam's summary of the family: Transfer RNA (tRNA) molecules are approximately 80 nucleotides in length. Their secondary structure includes four short double-helical elements and three loops (D, anti-codon, and T loops). The record is from RNAcentral. Lineage: Bacteria; Bacillati; Bacillota; Clostridia; Eubacteriales; Clostridiaceae.